AUACGGAGGGGACUAGCGUUGUUCGGAAUUACUGGGCGUAAAGAGUUCGUAGGCGGACUGAUAAGUAAGAGGUGAAAUCCCAGGGCUCAACCCUGGAACUGCCUUUUAAACUGUCAGUCUAGAGACCGGAAGAGGUUAGGGGAAUACCUAGUGUAGAGGUGAAUUUCGUAGAUAUUAGGUGGAACACCAGUGGCGAAGGCGCCUAACUGGUCCGGUACUGACGCUGAGGAACGAAAGCGUGGGGAGCAAACAGGAUUAGAAACCCUUGUAGUCC
RNAcentral lists this ribosomal RNA (274 nucleotides) under uncultured bacterium. Its description in RNAcentral is "partial 16S ribosomal RNA". It matches the Rfam family "Bacterial small subunit ribosomal RNA", at positions 523 to 796 of the family's 1533-position model. The record is from RNAcentral.